This is a long non-coding RNA of Conger conger (European conger), 904 nucleotides long. RefSeq lists it as uncharacterized. Lineage: Eukaryota; Metazoa; Chordata; Actinopteri; Anguilliformes; Congridae. The record is from RefSeq and is a predicted model, not a curated record. The transcript is spliced from 3 exons.
AUAAUUGUUCAAUAAAGUCGUACUUUGAAGUUUUAAUACGGGACUGGAUUUAAUUUGUGUUAUAUCAGUUAAUAUCGAACAGUGACCGAGUGUAGCGAUUUUAAUUCUUGCGUGCACAUCAUCGGACCACCAGGAAGUUUCUCAUUAUAAGCCAACGUUGUUGAUUGCUCGUUGUAUGAAGCCGACCUAGAUACAUGUGGGAAAGAAGACGCACGCCGAUUCCAGAAAUUGGUUUGAAAAUAUGUCCAGAGGACCUUGAACCGGCAGUACAAGACUGAUGGAGCGAAGCCCAAAUGUCUCUGCAGCACUGCUCUGCUGAACUGGUGUGAGGAAUGGUUCCGGGACGUUCCGGUCGUGGAGGAAUCUGACUGCAUUGUGCCUUCUCGUGCUGGGUGCUCCUCGGUUGUCCAUCAUGUCCAUUCGACCGUCGCAAAAAAGAGGCCUCCUCUGAUCCUGCUGGGUCUCCUCUGCCUCCCUCUGCUGGCCUGCUGCGGUGUUCCCCCCCGGACUGGCUGGCUCUCAGGGUCCUCUGCCUCCCUCUGCUGGCCUGCUGCGGUGUUCCUCCAGGGCCGGCCGGCUGUUAGGAUCCUCUGCUGACCUGGCUUGGCGCUGCAGGCGAUGGUGUUGCUGGAUCUCCUGAGGCUGACUCCUGGCUUCCAGCUCCCCCUGGCAGGAUCCAGUCAGUGCAGUUCCCUGCAGCUAAUCUGGGAUCAGUGAGGUCCUCCUGGCCUCCUGAUUGGCACAAAUCCUCCCAGCAAGCUCUGGGGUACCUGGUACUCUCUCCUCACUCCAGCUGUAGUUUUCAGGCUGUUCCAGUGGGCUACAAGGUCGAGCCAGCCACGGUCAAGCCAUGUACUGAACCCGGGCCUUACAGCCCGUCCAGAAAAAAGGCCAAAAAAGAAAA